RNAcentral lists this ribosomal RNA (458 nucleotides) under uncultured bacterium. Its description in RNAcentral is "bacterial SSU rRNA". It matches the Rfam family "Bacterial small subunit ribosomal RNA", at positions 32 to 468 of the family's 1533-position model. The record is from RNAcentral.
AAUCAACGCUGGCGGCGUGCCUAACACAUGCAAGUCGAACGCGAAAGCCCCUUCGGGGGCAAGUAGAGUGGCGUCCGGGUGAGUAACACGUGGGUAAUCUACCUCCGGGUGGGGAAUAACUCGCCGAAAGGUGGGCUAAUACCGCAUAAUGCAGCGGCACCGAAUGGUGAUUAGUUGUUAAAGCGGGGGACCUUAGGGCCUCGCGUCUGGAGAGGAGCCUGCGGCAGAUUAGCUUGUUGGAGGGUAAUGGCCUACCAAGGCUGCGAUCUGUAGCUGGUCUGAGAGGACGGCCAGCCACACUGGCACUGACACACGGGCCAGACUCCUACGGGAGGCAGCAGUGGGGAAUUUUGGGCAAUGGGCGAAAGCCUGACCCAGCAACGCCGCGUGAAGGAGGAAAUCCUUCGGGAUGUAAACUUCACAAGCAAGGGAAGAGCGCGCAGGGUCGAAUAAACUCU